UCUUCAGUAGUAUAGUGGUCAGUAUUUCCGCUUGUCAAUCAAUUGACAGCUCGCGGGAGACCGGGGUUCAAUUCCCCGCUGGAGAG
This is a transfer RNA of 86 nucleotides. It matches the Rfam family "tRNA". From Rfam's summary of the family: Transfer RNA (tRNA) molecules are approximately 80 nucleotides in length. Their secondary structure includes four short double-helical elements and three loops (D, anti-codon, and T loops). Further hydrogen bonds mediate the characteristic L-shaped molecular structure. tRNAs have two regions of fundamental functional importance: the anti-codon, which is responsible for specific mRNA codon recognition, and the 3' end, to which the tRNAs corresponding amino acid is attached (by aminoacyl-tRNA synthetases). tRNAs cope with the degeneracy of the genetic code in two manners: having more than one tRNA (with a specific anti-codon) for a particular amino acid; and 'wobble' base-pairing, i.e. permitting non-standard base-pairing at the 3rd anti-codon position. The record is from Rfam.